GCCCUGGCAGUCAGAGGCGAUGAAGGACGUGCUAAUCUGCGAUAAGCGUCGGUAAGGUGAUAUGAACCGUUAUAACCGGCGAUUUCCGAAUGGGGAAACCCAGUGUGAUUCGUCACACUAUCAUUAACUGAAUCCAUAGGUUAAUGAGGCGAACCGGGGGAACUGAAACAUCUAAGUACCCCGAGGAAAAGAAAUCAACCGAGAUUCCCCCAGUAGCGGCGAGCGAACGGGGAGGAGCCCAGAGCCUGAAUCAGUGUGUGUGUUAGUGGAAGCGUCUGGAAAGGCGCGCGAUACAGGGUGACAGCCCCGUACACAAAAAUACACAUGCUGUGAGCUCGAUGAGUAGGGCGGGACACGUGGUAUCCUGUCUGAAUAUGGGGGGACCAUCCUCCAAGGCUAAAUACUCCUGACUGACCGAUAGUGAACCAGUACCGUGAGGGAAAGGCGAAAAGAACCCCGGCGAGGGGAGUGAAAAAGAACCUGAAACCGUGUACGUACAAGCAGUGGGAGCACAGAGCAAUCUGUGUGACUGCGUACCUUUUGUAUAAUGGGUCAGCGACUUAUAUUCUGUAGCAAGGUUAACCGAAUAGGGGAGCCGAAGGGAAACCGAGUCUUAACUGGGCGUUAAGUUGCAGGGUAUAGACCCGAAACCCGGUGAUCUAGCCAUGGGCAGGUUGAAGGUUGGGUAACACUAACUGGAGGACCGAACCGACUAAUGUUGAAAAAUUAGCGGAUGACUUGUGGCUGGGGGUGAAAGGCCAAUCAAACCGGGAGAUAGCUGGUUCUCCCCGAAAGCUAUUUAGGUAGCGCCUCGUGAAUUCAUCUCCGGGGGUAGAGCACUGUUUCGGCAAGGGGGUCAUCCCGACUUACCAACCCGAUGCAAACUGCGAAUACCGGAGAAUGUUAUCACGGGAGACACACGGCGGGUGCUAACGUCCGUCGUGAAGAGGGAAACAACCCAGACCGCCAGCUAAGGUCCCAAAGUCAUGGUUAAGUGGGAAACGAUGUGGGAAGGCCCAGACAGCCAGGAUGUUGGCUUAGAAGCAGCCAUCAUUUAAAGAAAGCGUAAUAGCUCACUGGUCGAGUCGGCCUGCGCGGAAGAUGUAACGGGGCUAAACCAUGCACCGAAGCUGCGGCAGCGACGCUUAUGCGUUGUUGGGUAGGGGAGCGUUCUGUAAGCCUGCGAAGGUGUGCUGUGAGGCAUGCUGGAGGUAUCAGAAGUGCGAAUGCUGACAUAAGUAACGAUAAAGCGGGUGAAAAGCCCGCUCGCCGGAAGACCAAGGGUUCCUGUCCAACGUUAAUCGGGGCAGGGUGAGUCGACCCCUAAGGCGAGGCCGAAAGGCGUAGUCGAUGGGAAACAGGUUAAUAUUCCUGUACUUGGUGUUACUGCGAAGGGGGGACGGAGAAGGCUAUGUUGGCCGGGCGACGGUUGUCCCGGUUUAAGCGUGUAGGCUGGUUUUCCAGGCAAAUCCGGAAAAUCAAGGCUGAGGCGUGAUGACGAGGCACUACGGUGCUGAAGCAACAAAUGCCCUGCUUCCAGGAAAAGCCUCUAAGCAUCAGGUAACAUCAAAUCGUACCCCAAACCGACACAGGUGGUCAGGUAGAGAAUACCAAGGCGCUUGAGAGAACUCGGGUGAAGGAACUAGGCAAAAUGGUGCCGUAACUUCGGGAGAAGGCACGCUGAUAUGUAGGUGAAGCGACUUGCUCGUGGAGCUGAAAUCAGUCGAAGAUACCAGCUGGCUGCAACUGUUUAUUAAAAACACAGCACUGUGCAAACACGAAAGUGGACGUAUACGGUGUGACGCCUGCCCGGUGCCGGAAGGUUAAUUGAUGGGGUCAGCGCAAGCGAAGCUCUUGAUCGAAGCCCCGGUAAACGGCGGCCGUAACUAUAACGGUCCUAAGGUAGCGAAAUUCCUUGUCGGGUAAGUUCCGACCUGCACGAAUGGCGUAAUGAUGGCCAGGCUGUCUCCACCCGAGACUCAGUGAAAUUGAACUCGCUGUGAAGAUGCAGUGUACCCGCGGCAAGACGGAAAGACCCCGUGAACCUUUACUAUAGCUUGACACUGAACAUUGAGCCUUGAUGUGUAGGAUAGGUGGGAGGCUUUGAAGUGUGGACGCCAGUCUGCAUGGAGCCGACCUUGAAAUACCACCCUUUAAUGUUUGAUGUUCUAACGUGGACCCGUAAUCCGGGUUGCGGACAGUGUCUGGUGGGUAGUUUGACUGGGGCGGUCUCCUCCUAAAGAGUAACGGAGGAGCACGAAGGUUGGCUAAUCCUGGUCGGACAUCAGGAGGUUAGUGCAAUGGCAUAAGCCAGCUUGACUGCGAGCGUGACGGCGCGAGCAGGUGCGAAAGCAGGUCAUAGUGAUCCGGUGGUUCUGAAUGGAAGGGCCAUCGCUCAACGGAUAAAAGGUACUCCGGGGAUAACAGGCUGAUACCGCCCAAGAGUUCAUAUCGACGGCGGUGUUUGGCACCUCGAUGUCGGCUCAUCACAUCCUGGGGCUGAAGUAGGUCCCAAGGGUAUGGCUGUUCGCCAUUUAAAGUGGUACGCGAGCUGGGUUUAGAACGUCGUGAGACAGUUCGGUCCCUAUCUGCCGUGGGCGCUGGAGAACUGAGGGGGGCUGCUCCUAGUACGAGAGGACCGGAGUGGACGCAUCACUGGUGUUCGGGUUGUCAUGCCAAUGGCACUGCCCGGUAGCUAAAUGCGGAAGAGAUAAGUGCUGAAAGCAUCUAAGCACGAAACUUGCCCCGAGAUGAGUUCUCCCUGACUCCUUGAGAGUCCUGAAGGAACGUUGAAGACGACGACGUUGAUAGGCCGGGUGUGUAAGCGCAGCGAUGCGUUGAGCUAACCGGUACUAAUGAACCGUGAGG
This 2868-nucleotide ribosomal RNA is filed under the name Escherichia coli. RNAcentral's name for it is "partial 23S ribosomal RNA". It matches the Rfam family "Bacterial large subunit ribosomal RNA". Lineage: Bacteria; Pseudomonadati; Pseudomonadota; Gammaproteobacteria; Enterobacterales; Enterobacteriaceae. The record is from RNAcentral.